GGAGAGAUGGCUGAGUGGUUUAAGGCGCAUGCUUGGAAAGUAUGUGUAUUGUUAAAAGUACCGUGGGUUCGAAUCCCACUCUCUCCGCCA
RNAcentral lists this transfer RNA (90 nucleotides) under Candidatus Pelagibacter sp. RNAcentral's name for it is "tRNA-Ser". It matches the Rfam family "tRNA". Rfam says of the family: Transfer RNA (tRNA) molecules are approximately 80 nucleotides in length. Their secondary structure includes four short double-helical elements and three loops (D, anti-codon, and T loops). Lineage: Bacteria; Pseudomonadati; Pseudomonadota; Alphaproteobacteria; Candidatus Pelagibacterales; Candidatus Pelagibacteraceae. The record is from RNAcentral.